GAUGAACGCUGGCGGCGUGCCUAAUACAUGCAAGUCGAGCGAACAGACGAGGAGCUUGCUCCUCUGAUGUUAGCGGCGGACGGGUGAGUAACUCGUGGAUAACCUACCUAUAAGACUGGGAUAACUUCGGGAAACCGGAGCUAAUACCGGAUAACAUGUUGAACCGCAUGGUUCAACAGUGAAAGACGGUCUUGCUGUCACUUAUAGAUGGAUCCGCGCCGCAUUAGCUAGUUGGUAAGGUAACGGCUUACCAAGGCAACGAUGCGUAGCGGACCUGAGAGGGUGAUCGGCCAAACUGGAACUGAGACACGGUCCAGACUCCUACGGGAGGCAGCAGUAGGGAAUCUUCCGCAAUGGGCGAAAGCCUGACGGAGCAACGCCGCGUGAGUGAAGAAGGUCUUCGGAUCGUAAAACUCUGUUAUUAGGGAAGAACAAAUGUGUAAGUAACUAUGCACGUCUGGACGGUACCUAAUCAGAAAGCCACGGCUAACUACGU
Molecule: ribosomal RNA, 496 nt
Filed under: uncultured bacterium
Lineage: Bacteria
Description: partial 16S ribosomal RNA
Rfam family: Bacterial small subunit ribosomal RNA
Source: RNAcentral